Molecule: long non-coding RNA, 206 nt
Filed under: Castor canadensis (American beaver)
Lineage: Eukaryota; Metazoa; Chordata; Mammalia; Rodentia; Castoridae
Description: lncRNA (ENSCCNG00000004889.1)
Source: RNAcentral
CCCGCAAACCUGGAACUUUCGGAUUGCUUCCGAGCUUGAAGAGUGCUCGGAGCUUCACCAGGUGCUGCUUCCUGAUUUCAGCUGACCAGCUGAAGCACCAGUUUGCCCUUAAACUACCCACGUGGUGGGGGAGGGGAGAAGUGGCCCAAACAAUGUAUGCACACGUGAAUAAAUGAAUAAAAAUAAAUAAAUAAAUAAACUACUCA